AAGAAGAAGAGGAAAGGGGCGGGGCCCGGGAAAAAAAAAAAAAAAAGGCCGGAGGUUUGGAGCGCGCGCCUUUGCGCUGGCUGAGCCGCGCGCGGGGAUCGGAGUGUUCCCACGACCCGCUCUCCGCCUGGUGGCGAGGCGCGGGCGAACCCGGAGCAGGGCGGGGAUGGCGCGGCGGGUGAAACACCGAAAGGAAACUUUCGCUGGGCGCUGCGCUCGACUCCGCCCGCCUUCUGCGCUGCGUGCCUGGGAAAGGAAGGGCGAGCGCGGGGCUGGGGCUUUCUCUCUUUCGGCGCUUCCGCUGGGUCUGGACUUUCUGAUGAAGCGACAGGUCGCGAGAGAGGUCAAGCAACUACGACAUGAGAUGAAUUGGGCUGAGACAGACCGACUGGCCCAAAGUCAGCCAGCUGCUUUUUGUUGCACUCAGGAUUUCUGCUCUCAAAUAUUCUCAACCCUGCGAGGGUGGACCUGCAAAUAAUACACCGUUCAGGAACGUCUGCAAGCAAUUUCAAUCUUUAAACGGGAAGCAAGGGAGUGAAAAGAAGCAACCGUAUACGCUACCCUUAUCUUGACAUCUGGCAAAAACCUAACAGUUGGGAUCUACUAGACUUUCAUUCUGCGGCUUUAAGCAAAUAAAUUCUGUCAUUCUCUGAAACCAAAUCCGGUGGCAGAUGAUGAAAUGAUAAUCCAAAGCACCCAACUUCCAAAACAAAGUUGGGAGAGCUGGUUUUAAUUAAUGCUAUUGGAAAGGAGCAUUAUAUGAUGUGAGAACGAAACUCCCCUCCCCCCCCCAAGCCACAUAUAACCCUGGUAAAGGCUGCCUGAGCAACUAACUUGUGGGUUUCAGCCUAUUUCUAGGAUAAUAUGAAAAUAUUUGUCCCAUCUACCUGGUCACCAAACAGCUGAGUCCAACAGAAGCUAAGUCCUUCCUUUGCUUCCAGGAUAAACCCGCUGUUAAGCUGCAUCUGUUGGCGUUUAAUUUUGAGAUAACUUUUUCUGCAUAUUUUUUUUUUUUUUUAGUUUUCACUUGAUUUGAUGAAAGACGGUUUAUUUUAGACAUUCUUUCUAAGACGAGAAUUGAACUGCUUGUGCCUGGAAUAUGCAAAAAGACCAAGCAAGACAUGAAAAAAAAUAGCCUGCCUCUGACUGGAUAACCUCUACAGGGGUCUUCAGCCUCCAUGGCUUCCCCUCAUUUGCAAUCAAAUCCCAGGGAAAAUUUCAGGAAUAAGCAUCUUUCCUGGGGUUUUUUUUUUUUUUUCCCCAGUAGCAUCUCUCCAGCAAAGAAACCCAGAAAUGACCUGGAUUUGCAAAGGAAUGCUGGUGUGAAACUGGGAAAAGUCUUGAAGAGGGUCAACCCAUUCCUUUGUUGUAGACCUUUUAUUGUAAACAUUGUAGAAUAUAGAACAUAGAAUCAUAAGGCUGGACGGGAUCUCAAAGGUCUUCUAGUCCAACCCCUUGCUCAAGGCAGAAGACCUUACACUAUCCCGGUCGAAUUUGUCCAAUCUCUUCUUGAAGACCUCUAGUAAUGGAGCAGCCUAACUGCAGGAGGCAAAUUAUUUCAAUGAUUGUUUUCACUGUCAGAAAGUAGUAGUAGUAGUAGUAGUAGUAGUAGUAGU
Molecule: RNA transcript, 1616 nt
Organism: Crotalus tigris (Tiger rattlesnake)
Lineage: Eukaryota; Metazoa; Chordata; Lepidosauria; Squamata; Viperidae
Exons: 3
Source: RefSeq, a predicted model, not a curated record